AAUGAAAUAUGUAGUAGCAAAAUCAAAUUAAAAAUAUGUUGCAAAAGUAAUUGAAAAACUCGUGAAGGUGUUCACAAAGGAAUUGUAUAAAAGUACACGAGUGUGGUCAAGCGACAUAUGGUGCAUUCCAAUUUAAUUUUCAAAAUUAAUAAAGUAAACAUCUAAUAAAAUAAAUAUUGCUAAAAUGAGUAAAGGAGUGUAAUCGAAGGCAAAACAUUUCUUAAAUAAAUAAAAUUCUUAAGCAGACAACUUUGUAUGGAAUGCUCCACUACACAAGUCUUCUAUAUCCCUACGCACAUCUGAAAAUAUGUUCAUUCCGACCACACGGUGGUAAAUUAAACGAAAUUUAUUUGGCUCCAAUAUAUAUUUAUGUCUGUGCAACGGUGAACAUAUGUUGGCUACAACACUCCAGCACUGACUUUUGCAGUCGAUUUACCUAACAUUAGAGAAACAAAUAUUCACCUUGUGGAAAGGCAAUAUCAGACAGGCCAUCUGUCGUAGGCAAACAUAUGUGAGAUGCCUCGUAGACACAUCCGAUUUUAAUUAAGUGAAACGCUGUGGUAUGAAAACCGAAGCAACACAAGCACACACACAUGUGUGCACCUAACACACUAUUGCGUCCUGUAAGCAUACGGGGAUAUCUAUUUGACCAGUAGUUGUUGCUAACAAACAAACUGAGCUCAAAUAAAUUGAGUGCGGACUAUUUGGCUAGGUCUCAAGGCUAAAUAUAUCUUGAAAUGGACGCUCAUUUCGUUGUACACACACAUGAAUGUACAUACGUAGCUGAGCUGUGACUUUUCCUUCUGGGUGGCAUUCAGUCCCUUCUGUUUCUAACAACCAUAAGCAAUAUGGCGAAAAUUUGAAAACUGUUAUUUUCAUUACAGCCAACAGUGUACACCUUGCCACGGCCAAUAUAAUGGUCAUAUGCUACAGAUGCGCCCACUUACCUAAGCGCAUAAAACAUAUCAUACUAUAUUUGCAAUCAACAUUGUGCCAGCUAGCAAUACAAUAAUGGGCUGAUAAAAGCAAGCAAGCAAUCUCCAUCGGUUGUUAAGGACAAAUAGCAAAAAUUGCCAAACAACGCUCUCGGCUAUUUACAUCGGUCGAUUUUAGUUGCCUAUUUGCUUUGCGAUUGGCAGCAGUGAAAACCAAAUCGAAAAUUGGCAAUGUAAUUGCAGAAAUUGAGUACGAAACACAGCAUACAUACGGACAUACAUACAAACAAGAAUAACAAAAACAACACAUGUUCGCAUUAUUUGAAUAACAGGAAGUGUGUGCAAAAGAGAAAACAAAUUGGGUAGGCAAAUACGUAAACAAAGCUCCGGGUGUGUUUGUGUGUGUGCAGAAAGUCAAGCUGCAUUAAGAAAAUUGCAUACAAACCACCACAGCCAAAGAAAGUGAAAAGCCAUACCAUCGGCAAAGAAAAGUGGAUGUGGAAGUAAUUGCUGGAGCAUCAUCUAACACUUCCGUAUCAAUGGCGACCAUUAGUACACACUCGUAUAUAAGUAUCAUAGAGUUGCACAUUACCGGAAGACAGUUGUCAACAUUUUUUGUGUGAUUCUACGGACUUUUUAAGUGCAUCAAGAGCUCGAGUGGGGAACCUUGCGAAACCUAACCUCAUCUCAACUCAUGUCUCUCCUUCGGAACUACCGGAUUAUUCGUAACCGUGGGAAGUAAGAAGAUAUUUUAAGCCUUCUCCAUUCAACAGUAGGCAGUAGCAGUUACCGCCAAACUACCAAAACUUUUCUUAAGAAGCGAGUGCAUUGAAAAAACAUGCCACCCACCGGACAGUCAUACUAAUGCCUUAAUGGACUCUUGUCCACUAAGUAUAUCAGUCAGUAAUAAAUUCAUAACUCCAUGUUGUCUGAGUAGCCAUCUUUGGAUGUCCGAAAGAAUUCUGGGAGCAUACUGUCCUUUCAAUGAGAAUAUUACAAUGGACAGUCUAGUAUCUAAGGCUUCAGCAGCUUCUCUGGAUAUGGUUCGGGAAGAAGUCAUUUAACUUAUUCCUGAGAAUCUUUGGACUGCGCAAUGGGACUUGUAAGGCUUGUGUGCUUACGAUUAAGGUUCCAAUCGUAUCAUUUUUACAGAAUUAUGUGCGGGUGGCGGCUUAGUUGCUCUCACGAGUUCUGGUCAGUUUUCCUGACAAAAUAAGAACUAAUAUCAGUAAGGACAUUGAAACGGACUCAAAACAAACAACUACUCGGAUUAUUCACCGUGAAUUCACCACAAUUUAUUGGCACUUAACAACAUACCUACAAGAGUGCAAAUAAAGAA
Molecule: long non-coding RNA, 2274 nt
Organism: Zeugodacus cucurbitae (melon fly)
Lineage: Eukaryota; Metazoa; Arthropoda; Insecta; Diptera; Tephritidae
Exons: 5
Source: RefSeq, a predicted model, not a curated record